CCGAGUUUACAACUCCCAAACCCAAUGUGAACGUUACCAAACUGUUGCCUCGGCGGGAUCUCUGCCCCGGGUGCGUCGCAGCCCCGGACCAAGGCGCCCGCCGGAGGACCAACCAAAACUCUAUUGUAUACCCCCUCGCGGGUUUUUUUAUAAUCUGAGCCUUCUCGGCGCCUCUCGUAGGCGUUUCGAAAAUGAAUCA
RNAcentral lists this unclassified non-coding RNA (199 nucleotides) under soil metagenome. RNAcentral's name for it is "partial internal transcribed spacer 1". The record is from RNAcentral.